This is a long non-coding RNA of Phacochoerus africanus (Common warthog), 404 nucleotides long. RefSeq lists it as uncharacterized. The record is from RefSeq and is a predicted model, not a curated record. Lineage: Eukaryota; Metazoa; Chordata; Mammalia; Artiodactyla; Suidae. The transcript has 4 exons.
UGCUCGUCCUCCAGCAGGAAGAGGUUCUCCUUCUCGCAGUAGAAGGCGGCCGCAUCCAGGAGGGCCUUCAGCGGCACCAGGCCCACCAGCUGCGAGCCCACCACCGGGAGGCUCAGCUCCUGCGGAGGUCGGAGGUACCAGCCGAUGGCCUGCACCUUCUUCAGGCGUCCUGGCUGCGAAGCACGAGGCUUUCCCAGACCCGCCUGCCCCUCCGCUCCGGGGCCCUGAACUGACAGCCCCUUCCUUAGCCGACCCGAGGCCUCCUUCUACCCGAGUCGAGAACCAAGUCUGCAGGACGCAGCUGCCCCCGGCCCGGGCUCUGGGGUGGGGGCUGCCAGGUCGAGGGCAAUGCGGUGCGCCUGCUCCCUGGUGCUGAGCAGGUUGACGUUGAACGCGAGGAGGAA